CCUACGGGGCGCUGCAGUGAGGAAUAUUGGUCAAUGGACGAGAGUCUGAACCAGCCAAGUAGCGUGAAGGAUGACUGCCCUAUGGGUUGUAAACUUCUUUUAUAUGGGAAUAAACUGUUCCACGUGUGGGAUUUUGUAUGUACCAUAUGAAUAAGGAUCGGCUAACUCCGUGCCAGCAGCCGCGGUAAUACGGAGGAUCCGAGCGUUAUCCGGAUUUAUUGGGUUUAAAGGGAGCGUAGGUGGAUUGUUAAGUCAGUUGUGAAAGUUUGCGGCUCAACCGUAAAAUUGCAGUUGAAACUGGCAGUCUUGAGUACAGUAGAGGUGGGCGGAAUUCGUGGUGUAGCGGUGAAAUGCUUAGAUAUCACGAAGAACUCCGAUUGCGAAGGCAGUUCACUGGACUGCAACUGACACUGAGGCUCGAAAGUGUGGGUAUCAAACAGGAUUAGAUACCCCAGUAGUC
Molecule: ribosomal RNA, 460 nt
Filed under: uncultured bacterium
Lineage: Bacteria
Description: partial 16S ribosomal RNA
Rfam family: Bacterial small subunit ribosomal RNA
Source: RNAcentral